Molecule: ribosomal RNA, 253 nt
Filed under: uncultured bacterium
Lineage: Bacteria
Description: partial 16S ribosomal RNA
Rfam family: Bacterial small subunit ribosomal RNA
Source: RNAcentral
UACGUAGGGGGCAAGCGUUAUCCGGAUUUACUGGGUGUAAAGGGAGCGUAGACGGCGCGGCAAGUCUGAAGUGAAAGGCAGGGGCUUAACCCCUGAACUGCUUUGGAAACUGCCAUGCUAGAGUGCUGGAGAGGUAAGUGGAAUUCCUAGUGUAGCGGUGAAAUGCGUAGAUAUUAGGAGGAACACCAGUGGCGAAGGCGGCUUACUGGACAGUAGCUGACGUUGAGGCUCGAAAGCGUGGGGAGCAAACAGG